UACUCGACGGGCCUCACGCUAACAACCACUUAACUCUGUGGCGCAUCUCGCGCACAUACGCGCUUUUCGUGUCCGCGGUGUGUAAAUCAUGCCGCGUUAGUCCCAGCGUUCGGAAUUAUUAUUUCCAAUCAUACACCGACUUAUCUCCUGGUGGCUCCGAUUAUUUUCGUUGAUACGGGGUCGCUCAUCAAGUAAAAGCCGCUCUGGGACGGGCCUGCGUCUACGUCAGAGGUAUAUUACGGGGUUUUGAGGUUAAAUAUUACAUGGAUUGUUAUGGGGUCAUUUGGGACCGCGCUAAGUAACGUUUUGACGUUAUUGUUUACUAUUCUCAAAUUUUUCUGCAAAUUAUACAAAAUUUUAACCACUUAAUUUGCCAUUUAAUUUUUAAUCAAUAUUGACCUUUGCCAUUUAAUUUUUUAAUCAAUAUUGGCCUUUGCCAUUUGAUUUUUCUUUCAUUAUUGGCCCCUCCUACUUGGAGUUAGGGGUCGGAGGACAGGCCAGGGGCGGACUGGGUGGAAAAGGCCCUUACGGGUGGCAACCACCACCCCGCCACCCCGGCCAGUCCGGCACCUUCGGGGGAGUGUUAAAUAUUUUUUGGGCGGAUUAGACCUAUGUUACAGGUACUUUACGGAAAGGAAGGGAUUUAAGGGAUGCAACUAAGACCCGAUUUUUACCUUAAUUUGUUUUAUGAACGGUCGUAUAUAGGCAAUUGAAUGACUUGUUACAGGAGACGGCGCAGUGCACUAUCUCGAGUGGGUUGUCAAUGGAGCUAUCUUAUCAACCUGAUAAGAUCAGCUUCUGUUUGAUAAAGUACUCUGAAUGAGUUGUCCGUUUCAUUAAGUGUGUCUUGUUUCUGUCCCGACUCGAACUAUUUCUUUUUCGAUUCUUUACCAGUUUCAUUGUCAGCCGAGUGAAAUUCAACUAGCGGAGCUGCGAUGAGCACAUUGGAAACCGAACCGGCGGCGCCAGGUGUACGAACCGAGAGCGAAAAUUGCAGCGUUCAACACUUGUUUAGCAGAGUCAAACUUGCAAAAAAAGCCCGAAAUCGAUUAGUUCCGAAGAG
RNAcentral lists this long non-coding RNA (1063 nucleotides) under Bemisia tabaci. RNAcentral's name for it is "lncRNA ENSSSA2NGG013822". The record is from RNAcentral. Lineage: Eukaryota; Metazoa; Arthropoda; Insecta; Hemiptera; Aleyrodidae.